AGAGUUUGAUCCUGGCUCAGAGCGAACGCUGGCGGCAGGCCUAACACAUGCAAGUCGAGCGGCCGUAGCAAUACGGCAGCGGCAGACGGGAGAGUAACACGUGGGAACGCGCCCUUCGGUUCGGAAUAACUCAGGGAAACUUGGGCUAAUACCGGAUACGCCCUUACGGGGAAAGAUUUAUUGCCGAAGGAACGGCCCGCGUCCGAUUAGCUAGUUGGUGAGGUAAUGGCUCACCAAGGCGACGAUCGGUAGCUGGUCUGAGAGGAUGACCAGCCUCACUGGGACUGAGACACGGCCCAGACUCCUACGGGAGGCAGCAGUGGGGAAUAUUGGACAAUGGGCGCAAGCCUGAUCCAGCCAUGCCGCGUGGAUGAUGAAGGCCUUAGGGUUGUAAAGUCCUUUCAGCGGGGAAGAUAAUGACGGUACCCGCAGAAGAAGCCCCGGCUAACUUCGUGCCAGCCGCCGCGGUAAUAC
Molecule: ribosomal RNA, 474 nt
Filed under: uncultured bacterium
Lineage: Bacteria
Description: bacterial SSU rRNA
Rfam family: Bacterial small subunit ribosomal RNA
Source: RNAcentral